This is a long non-coding RNA of Perognathus longimembris pacificus (Pacific pocket mouse), 434 nucleotides long. RefSeq lists it as uncharacterized. Lineage: Eukaryota; Metazoa; Chordata; Mammalia; Rodentia; Heteromyidae. The transcript is spliced from 3 exons. The record is from RefSeq and is a predicted model, not a curated record.
CUAUUCUGCGGAAAUGCUCGCCGGCUCAGAGUUGGCAUGUUUUGCUUGCUGGGCUGGCUCUCCACCACUUGAACCACACCUCCAGGUCUGCUUUUUGCAGGUUGGAAUGUAAAUGGGCACAAAGGGCCACAGCGAAAGCUGAUGAGAAGAGCUGGCCUGCUGGUGGUUUUACUGCAGAAUCAGGCCAACUCAAGUCCACAUGACUUCUCCUGCCCAUCAGCUCCUCCUCUGUUCUCCCUUCCCUUGGACUCCUGGAGUAGCUAGCCAUCAGCAGGCUUUAGAUCUCAGAGCCGGAUACCAGCUGAGUACCUCUUUGCGGAUGGCAUCGCUGGGCAUCGGCUUUACCUUCUUAUCUGGGUUGCAAACUCAGGUGCUCUGCACUCUGCAGAACUCCCUUCCAACAAGCAGUAUGUUUUUGGAAAACAAACCACAUU